This 89-nucleotide transfer RNA is filed under the name Dactylosporangium siamense. Its description in RNAcentral is "tRNA-Arg". Lineage: Bacteria; Bacillati; Actinomycetota; Actinomycetes; Micromonosporales; Micromonosporaceae. The record is from RNAcentral.
CACCGGCUGCCCCGCCUGCCGGGCCUGCGCCACGAGCGCGUGGACCUCGCCGACGGGCGGGGUGCGCGGUUCGGUGCCGUGGUCGGGGU